AUAAUAAUUUGCCUCUUAAUUAGAGGCUGGAAUGAAGGAACAUACGAGAGUAAAACUGUUUCAUUUUUACCUAAUGAAAACUAACCUCUAGAUGAAGAGAUCUAGAUAACUAAGAAAGACAAAAAGACCCUAUUGAGCUUUACCCUACCAGAAUUCCCCCAAAGUGAAUCUAUUUAAUAAAUUCUGAGCGGGUUUUGUUGGGGCGACAGAAGAAGAACUAAAUCUUCUUUAUUUAAUGAGGUAAUAAACCUAAUAAUGAUCCGGAACCCCCGAUCAAAAGAUUCAGCUACCAUAGGGAUAACAGGCUAAUUCUUUCCGAGAGCCCAUAUUGACGAAAGAGAUUGGCACCUCGAUGUGGC
RNAcentral lists this ribosomal RNA (359 nucleotides) under Scolelepis sp. GF-1883_17254. Its description in RNAcentral is "partial large subunit ribosomal RNA". It matches the Rfam family "Bacterial large subunit ribosomal RNA", at positions 1956 to 2536 of the family's 2925-position model. Lineage: Eukaryota; Metazoa; Annelida; Polychaeta; Spionida; Spionidae. The record is from RNAcentral.